GGGGAUUUAGCUCAGUGGUUAAGCGCCUGCCUUGCAAGCAGGUAGUUGUGAGUUCAAUCCCCG
Molecule: transfer RNA, 63 nt
Organism: Cavia porcellus (domestic guinea pig)
Lineage: Eukaryota; Metazoa; Chordata; Mammalia; Rodentia; Caviidae
Rfam family: tRNA
About the family: Transfer RNA (tRNA) molecules are approximately 80 nucleotides in length.
Source: Rfam